This 220-nucleotide long non-coding RNA is filed under the name Sorghum bicolor (sorghum). Its description in RNAcentral is "long non-coding RNA (SBIC_LNC018503)". The record is from RNAcentral. Lineage: Eukaryota; Viridiplantae; Streptophyta; Magnoliopsida; Poales; Poaceae.
GGCCGAAAGGGGAGCGGGGUUGGCCCAGCAGCGCCUGCCCCUUUUCCUUUUUUUUAUUUCUUUUCUCCAAAUUCUUUCUAAAUUCAUUUGGACCAAUUUAAAAUCAUUUUCACCUCUUGCUCCCAAAAACAAAGUUGUUCUAAAACAAAAACCCUACAACUUUGUUUUAAUAAGCAAGACCAAAUUCCCAAUAGAAUUUGAAUUACAAAUUAAAACUAGU